This 301-nucleotide ribosomal RNA is filed under the name uncultured bacterium. RNAcentral's name for it is "partial 16S ribosomal RNA". It matches the Rfam family "Bacterial small subunit ribosomal RNA", at positions 512 to 808 of the family's 1533-position model. The record is from RNAcentral.
CAGCCGCACGGUAAUACGGAGGGUGCAAGCGUUAAUCGGAAUUACUGGGCGUAAAGCGUGCGUAGGCGGUUCGCUAAGUCUGUUGUGAAAGCCCCGGGCUCAACCUGGGAAUGGCAAUGGAUACUGGCGAGCUAGAGUGUGUCAGAGGAUGGUGGAAUUCCCGGUGUAGCGGUGAAAUGCGUAGAGAUCGGGAGGAACAUCAGUGGCGAAGGCGGCCAUCUGGGACAACACUGACGCUGAGGCACGAAAGCGUGGGGAGCAAACAGGAUUAGAUACCCCUGUAGUCCCUGUCUCUUAUACA